This 67-nucleotide transfer RNA is filed under the name Marmota monax (woodchuck). Its description in RNAcentral is "tRNA.Ala". The record is from RNAcentral. Lineage: Eukaryota; Metazoa; Chordata; Mammalia; Rodentia; Sciuridae.
GGCUGUACCUCAAUGGUAGAGUGCUUGCCUUGCAUGUGUGAGGCACUGGGUUCUAUUCUCAGCACCA